This 113-nucleotide ribosomal RNA is filed under the name Caerostris darwini. Lineage: Eukaryota; Metazoa; Arthropoda; Arachnida; Araneae; Araneidae. The record is from RNAcentral.
AACGGCCGUACCAUGCUGAAUAUACCGGUUCUCGUUAGAUCACCGAAGUUAAGCAUCAUUAGGCGCGGUCAGUACUUGGGUGGGUGACCACCUGGGAACACUGCGUGCCGUUG